Molecule: unclassified non-coding RNA, 289 nt
Filed under: uncultured fungus
Lineage: Eukaryota; Fungi
Description: partial contains 5.8S rRNA, ITS2 and 28S rRNA
Rfam family: Eukaryotic large subunit ribosomal RNA
Source: RNAcentral
AAGGAGUCUAACAUCUAUGCGAGUGUUCGGGUGUCAAACCCCUACGCGUAAUGAAAGUGAACGGAGGUGGGAAGGGUAACCUGCACCAUCGACCGAUCCUGAUGUCCUCGGAUGGAUUUGAGUAAGAGCAUAGCUGUUGGGACCCGAAAGAUGGUGAACUAUGCCUGAAUAGGGUGAAGCCAGAGGAAACUCUGGUGGAGGCUCGCAGCGGUUCUGACGUACAAAUCGAUCGUCAAAUUUGGGUAUAGGGGCGAAAGACUAAUCGAACCAUCUAGUAGCUGGUUCCUGC